Molecule: small RNA, 77 nt
Filed under: Salix viminalis (osier)
Lineage: Eukaryota; Viridiplantae; Streptophyta; Magnoliopsida; Malpighiales; Salicaceae
Source: RNAcentral
UAGAGGUGAGGAAAUUUGAACAUGUGAUUGUUAGGUCAACAAGUCUCUGAUACCAUGUUAAAAAAUUAUCUCAUCUA